CUGGCAGAGUCAGGGGAAAGCUGACAUGGAAACUCGCUUGGGAACUCCUGUGGCCAGGGAUGGACGGCUCCGCCUGACAGCAGCUCUGCAUGACUUAAAGGAAAACUGGAUGAAACCUGACACCGAGGGUGUGCAGUUUCCUUAGCAAGGAUUGCACGUUGCUGUUUCGGAAAUGGUGACUAAGAAGAGUUUUGCCGUCGAUCUCCCAGAACUCACAGCAAGCUACGGAGACCUUCCUCACACGUAAAAAGCAAACACCAAAAGCCACCACCCAGCAAACACGACCAGCUACAGCUUCGUCUCAUUCCCACCACCAUCAAACCUUCCUGCCAGAAGCCGCGCGUGGAUUCUUUCAUCCCCUAAAGGGAGCGAUUUGGAAAACUACUGAUACGAACGUUGGAUAAGAGGGUUAAAGUGAAACUAUUUUGCAAGCUGCCGCCUGGAGCCCACUCGGCAUCACCGGCUGCACACGCGCGGCUGCCGUCGGCCCGGGAUCGCGGCGACUCUGGCCAAGAGACCAGCUUUGAGUUUAGUGGUCCAUAGGAGACGCUUUGAACGAAUCUAAACACUAUUUGAUGCCUGACCUUGUGAAUAUC
Long non-coding RNA from Pipra filicauda (Wire-tailed manakin), 596 nucleotides. RefSeq lists it as uncharacterized. The record is from RefSeq and is a predicted model, not a curated record. NCBI's taxonomy places the organism in Eukaryota, Metazoa, Chordata, Aves, Passeriformes, Pipridae. The transcript is spliced from 3 exons.